GAUGAACGCUGGCGGCGUGCCUAAUACAUGCAAGUCGAGCGAACGGACGAGAAGCUUGCUUCUCUGAUGUUAGCGGCGGACGGGUGAGUAACACGUGGAUAACCUACCUAUAAUACUGGGAUAACUUCGGGAAACCGGAUCUAAUACCGUAUGAUAUUUUGAACCGCAUUGUUCAAUAGUGAAAUACGUUCUUUCUGUCACUUAUAGAUGGAUCCGCGCUGCAUUAGCUAGUUGGUAAGGUAACGGCUUACCAAGGCAACGAUGCAUAGCCGACGUGAGAGGGGGAUCGGCCACACUGGAACUGAGACACGGACCAGACGACUACGGGAGGCAGCAGUAGGGAAUCGUCGGCAAUGGGGGAAAGCAUGACGGAGCAAGGCCGCGGGAGAGAUGAAGGUCUUCGGAUCGUAAAAAUCUGUUAUUAGGGAAGAAAAUAUGUGUAAGGAAAUGUGCACAGCUUGACGGUAACGAAUCAGAAAGCAACGGCUAACUACGUG
RNAcentral lists this ribosomal RNA (497 nucleotides) under uncultured bacterium. Its description in RNAcentral is "partial 16S ribosomal RNA". It matches the Rfam family "Bacterial small subunit ribosomal RNA", at positions 28 to 507 of the family's 1533-position model. The record is from RNAcentral.